GACGAACGCUGGCGGCGUGCCUAAUACAUGCAAGUCGAACGCUUUGAUUUUCACCGGAGCUUGCUCCACCGAAAAUCAAAGAGUGGCGGACGGGUGAGUAACACGUGGGCAACCUGCCCAACAGAGGGGGAUAACACUUGGAAACAGGUGCUAAUACCGCAUAAUUUGUUUUCCCGCAUGGGAGAAUAAUAAAAGACGCUUCGGUGUCACUGUUGGAUGGGCCCGCGCUGCAUUAGUUAGUUGGUGGGGUAAUGGCCUACCAAGACCGUGAUGCAUAGCCGACCUGAGAGGGUGAUCGGCCACACUGGGACUGAGACACGGCCCAGACUCCUACGGGAGGCAGCAGUAGGGAAUCUUCGGCAAUGGACGAAAGUCUGACCGAGCAACGCCGCGUGAGUGAAGAAGGUUUUCGGAUCGUAAAACUCUGUUGUUAGAGAAGAACAAGUGGGAGAGUAACUGUUCCCACCUUGACGGUAUCUAACCAGAAAGCCACGGCUAACUACGUGCCAGCAGCCGCGGUAAUACGUAGGUGGCAAGCGUUGUCCGGAUUUAUUGGGCGUAAAGCGAGCGCAGGCGGUUUCUUAAGUCUGAUGUGAAAGCCCUCGGCUCAACCGAGGAAGGUCAUUGGAAACUGGGGAACUUGAAUGCAGAAGAGGAGAGUGGAAUUCCAUGUGUAGCGGUGAAAUGCGUAGAUAUAUGGAGGAACACCAGUGGCGAAGGCGACUCUCUGGUCUGUAAUUGACGCUGAGCUCGAAAGCGUGGGGAGCAAACAGG
RNAcentral lists this ribosomal RNA (774 nucleotides) under uncultured bacterium. RNAcentral's name for it is "bacterial SSU rRNA". It matches the Rfam family "Bacterial small subunit ribosomal RNA", at positions 28 to 776 of the family's 1533-position model. The record is from RNAcentral.